RNAcentral lists this ribosomal RNA (577 nucleotides) under Triticum aestivum (bread wheat). RNAcentral's name for it is "partial small subunit ribosomal RNA". Lineage: Eukaryota; Viridiplantae; Streptophyta; Magnoliopsida; Poales; Poaceae. The record is from RNAcentral.
GAUACUGGCUCGACUCGUGGUCGGAUAUAAACGUCGGAGACGUGUUGUGCUAAGACGUCAUCAGACGCGCGGGAGUGGUGGCAAGUGGUACGGCGGGAAGGAUUAACAAAAGUGGGACGAGAGGACGUAGGUGUGGGGUCGUUUGAGACGUCGCUGCCUGUGGUAGAACCGGCCGGUUAGUGAACGGCAGUUGCUGUUCGAGUAGAGGCCGUUACCGUCCAUGCGCGAGCCGAAGAAGGUCUGGCUUCCGUGGUGGUUGACCAUGGAACCGUAUACCAAGUUGCGUCAGGGAUUUAAGUGAGGUCGUACCCAACCUUUAUCCCUAUUGGGUCAGUUCUUGUGCUGGAGUCAACUCGAGUGGUAAAGGGUGCUACCGUUGGAACAGUAGAAUUUGGCCAGGUGGUACAGGUAUUAGACCAGGUGUGUUCGUUUGUAGAGGUCUUUAUCGUGGUGACGAUCCGACGACUCAUGACCUUUAGAGCAUGAGUGUCUGAGAAGUUUGAACAGUCUCAAAGAUACCGUUUCGAAACUAGUGGGGUGCCUAUGUAAAAAAGGACCCCGGUUCGUACCUACCCUA